RNAcentral lists this ribosomal RNA (423 nucleotides) under Escherichia coli. RNAcentral's name for it is "bacterial SSU rRNA". It matches the Rfam family "Bacterial small subunit ribosomal RNA", at positions 1109 to 1532 of the family's 1533-position model. Lineage: Bacteria; Pseudomonadati; Pseudomonadota; Gammaproteobacteria; Enterobacterales; Enterobacteriaceae. The record is from RNAcentral.
CCUUUGUUGCCAGCGGUCCGGCCGGGAACUCAAAGGAGACUGCCAGUGAUAAACUGGAGGAAGGUGGGGAUGACGUCAAGUCAUCAUGGCCCUUACGACCAGGGCUACACACGUGCUACAAUGGCGCAUACAAAGAGAAGCGACCUCGCGAGAGCAAGCGGACCUCAUAAAGUGCGUCGUAGUCCGGAUUGGAGUCUGCAACUCGACUCCAUGAAGUCGGAAUCGCUAGUAAUCGUGGAUCAGAAUGCCACGGUGAAUACGUUCCCGGGCCUUGUACACACCGCCCGUCACACCAUGGGAGUGGGUUGCAAAAGAAGUAGGUAGCUUAACCUUCGGGAGGGCGCUUACCACUUUGUGAUUCAUGACUGGGGUGAAGUCGUAACAAGGUAACCGUAGGGGAACCUGCGGUUGGAUCACCUCCUU